AGAGUUUGAUCCUGGUGCUCAUGAAUCAACGCUGGUCGGCGGUGCCUAACACAUGCAAGUCGCACGAGAAAGGGACUUCGGUCCUGAGUACAGAUGGCGCACGGGUGAGUAACACGUGAAUCAUCUACCUCCGUAGUGUGUGUGAAUAACUGAAGUAGAAAUCUUAGACAUACACUACCGUCAUAACUACUUACAGCAGUUCAUAAGACAGCAAUGCGCUUGGUAGAGGAGUUCUGCGGCAGAUUAGUUAUGUUGGCGGGGUAUAGUGGUCACCACACAAGACGAUGAUCUGUAUCCGGCACUGAGUAGGGCGCACGGACACACUGGAACUGAAACACGGUCCAGCACUCCUACGGGAGGCAGCAGNGGGGAAUUUUGCGCAAUGGGGGAAACCCUGACGCAGCAACGCCGCGUGGAGGAUGAAAUCCCUUGGGAUGUAAACUGCCUUUCGAUAGGGAAGAUAAUGACGGUACCUAUAGAAGAAGCCCCGGCUAACUUACGUGCCAGCAGCCGCGGCAAUACGAGGGGGGCAAGCGUUGUUCGGAANUAUUGGNCGUAAAGGGNGCGUAGGCGGUUUGACAAGUCUCAUGUGAAAUCUUCGGGCUCAACCCGAAGUCUGCAUGGGAAACUGUGCGGGCUUGAGUAUUGGAGAGGUGAGUGGAAUUUCGCGGUAGUAGCGGUGAAAUGCGUAGAUAUCGGAAGGAACACCUGUGGCGAAAGCGGUCACUGGACAAUAAACUGACGCUGAUGCACGAAAGCUA
RNAcentral lists this ribosomal RNA (761 nucleotides) under uncultured Actinomycetes bacterium. RNAcentral describes it as "bacterial SSU rRNA". It matches the Rfam family "Bacterial small subunit ribosomal RNA", at positions 8 to 762 of the family's 1533-position model. Lineage: Bacteria; Bacillati; Actinomycetota; Actinomycetes. The record is from RNAcentral.